UGAGUUAUAUGAAAGUACCAAGUACUGGUGAAGACGUGGAUAAACUGGAACCCUUUUGCAUUGCUGGAAGGAAUGUAAAAUAGUGCAGCCACUGUAGAAAAUAAUAUGGUGGUUUCU
Non-coding RNA from Ceratotherium simum simum (southern white rhinoceros), 117 nucleotides. The record is from RefSeq and is a predicted model, not a curated record. Lineage: Eukaryota; Metazoa; Chordata; Mammalia; Perissodactyla; Rhinocerotidae.